AUUACAUUGGCAAGUUUCUGGAAUUCUUUCUGCGUUUGGCUGUCGAAGGAUUUGAAUUCGACAUCCCGCUGGAUGACGACGUUUUUACUCAGUUCCUCGAAAUUGCUGACCUGAUAUUCUUUCAUGGCUGUCAGGAUUUCGUCGACUUGGUUUCCCGACAAGUUGAACAAUUUGACGCGAUAGGAACGGUCGUUGGUUACGCGAUAGCCCAGCUGAUAGCGACUGCGUUCAUCGUUGAAUUCACUUCUCAGUUUGAGUACAUUUUCGGCUUUGAUGGUGAAUUCCCGGCGUCGGGAUCUGUUGUAAUUGGGACUUAAUAGAAAUAAGCGGAUCCGCAGUGACAGCUGAUGGCCGUCUUCCAAAUGCAGUGAACUGAUGGCGAUGGAAUUUCCGGAUAAUUGAAUAAGAUUUUGUUUUAGAGUUUCUAAUAAUAUUUUUCCAAUUUCAGGUGGAAACUUGGCGAGGAUAGCCAAUCCAUCGCGAAAUAAAAAAAUUGGGCAGCCGUUCGAGAAUGCGCAUCCGCCAUUGGCUAUUAGUUGCGUCCGGAUGGCAAAUGAAAAUUUGGUGGUCGUCGUAGCCCACGAUGAAAUGACCCAACAUUUCAAACGAAAUGGCGGAUCGGCCGGAUGUGAAUUGACGUUCCAUCCAUUUGGAUUGAUCGGUCGAUAAUUCAAAGAGUUGAAUGAUGCCUGUUUUGCUGCUGCCGUUGGCUAUGGCCACACCCGCCUCGCUGGAUCGGAUCAUGGCGUCCCGACUGAACCGAUGACAGUAAAACGACGAGGAACUCUGAGUGGAAUCGGACGCUGUACGAGACGACUUUACCUUCCGGCUGGGUUGUUGUUGUUGCUGACA
Daphnia pulex (common water flea) is the source of this 852-nucleotide long non-coding RNA. RefSeq lists it as uncharacterized. The transcript has 4 exons. The record is from RefSeq and is a predicted model, not a curated record. NCBI's taxonomy places the organism in Eukaryota, Metazoa, Arthropoda, Branchiopoda, Diplostraca, Daphniidae.